This 110-nucleotide ribosomal RNA is filed under the name Jaculus jaculus (lesser Egyptian jerboa). Lineage: Eukaryota; Metazoa; Chordata; Mammalia; Rodentia; Dipodidae. The record is from RNAcentral.
UAUGGCCAUAACCACCCUGAAUGCACUCUAUUUUGUCUAAUCUCCGAAGCUAAGCAGGGUCGGAGCCUAGUUAGCACUUGAUGGGAGAAGAAGAAUUGGAAUCUCCAUUU